Leptonychotes weddellii (Weddell seal) is the source of this 3335-nucleotide non-coding RNA. The record is from RefSeq and is a predicted model, not a curated record. NCBI's taxonomy places the organism in Eukaryota, Metazoa, Chordata, Mammalia, Carnivora, Phocidae.
UAUGAAAUUGCUUUAUUUCUAGGGUUUACAGAUUGGUACUCGAGAAUUAGAAGAGAUGGGAGCAAAAUUUUGUGUUGGUCUGUUGCGUUUGAAAAGACUGACAUCCCCAUUGGAAUAUAAUCUGCCUUCCAGCCUGCUUGACUUUGAAAAUGACUUGAUUGAAUCGAACUGCAAAGUAACUAGCCCUACCACUUACGUUUUGGAUGAAGAUGAGCCUCGAUUCCUUGAAGAAGUGGAUUACAGUGCAGAAAGUAAUGACGACUUAGAUACUGAAUUGGCGGAAAACGUAGGAGAUUAUGAACCUUCUGCUCAGGAAGAAGUACUUUCUGACUCUGAAUUGUCAAGAGCAUACCUACCUUAAACCUUCUGCCAUCUCUUGAAAGUGCAAAAAAGAAAGGAAAUACCUUCUUUUUUCUUACACAGGAAGUUUGAGAGAAAUGAGUUAAUAGCUGACUCAAGAAAGACAAAAAGUAAUUUGGGCCUGUUUGGUUUCAAGACAAUAAAUAUGUUAUUAAUUCAUGAUAAAAUUGGCACUUGUUUUAUUUUAGAUAUUCAGUGCACUUGAUAUGGCAUUAAAUGAUCAAAUAUUGGAUUUUUUUUAAAACCUGAGUAUCAUUGCAUGAAUUUUUAUCUUCUUAUGGUUAUAUCCUGCAUCAAAUGGAUACAUUUUGAAGUGUGUGAGAAUAUAAAAUCUGAAUCCCGAGUUGUUGAAAACAAAUACGUAUGUACAUGGAUUUCUUUAGCUGUGACUGUGUAGGGUGGGUAGACAUUGAACAUAAGACUGUGCUUCAGAAUCAUGUUAACUGUGGACUUGUGACUGAAAUAACCCAGAGUUUGCCUUGAAAGCGUUACAUUCUCCACUUACCAAAUUAAACAAAUAAAAGCUAUAUUAAAUGUUGAAUUCAUUUCGUCAUCCUUUUUAACCAGCUCAGAUUAUUUGGUUUAUAGAAUCUUUGUGAGAAUAUUAUAAAAAUCCAACAUCCAAACACAUUGAUAAAAAUUUGUAAAACAGAAAAAAAAAGUGCUGAAUUUACUGGUUCUAAGCUUUUUAUGGUAUAGGUAUACCUCUACCUGUCGUAAAGCAUAUAUUAUAGCAGCUCUUUUCUCUAAAACUGUGUCUCUUGGUUGCAUCUAAACUGUUUAUCACGAUAGUUUGUUCAGCUUGAAAAAUGCAGUGAGGAUACGAUCUCGUGUUAAAUGUGUAUCUGUAUAUUAAGCGUAUUUAGCAUUUCCUGAGUUGUGUGAUGCUGUUAGACGCACUGACCCUGGCAUCUGUGUCUCGAUGACUACAGUGACUGUAAACCAUUUCUUGCACUGUCAUCUUCCUGGUUUAAGCUGCCCUGCUGCAGGAACGACUUUGUCUUCACAUAGAAUAAAACUGGUUCAGCGGCUUUGGAUAAGUGCCCUACAAACUAAGUUUCUGUUGUAAUAAAACAAAUCCAAAAGAGAUACCUCAUUAACAGAUUCUUGCGAGGACUCUGGUGCUUAGGUUUGGGUACAUUAUCUUUGCUUAUUCCUGAUUAGAAUUUUUUAAAUCUUUUUUUUUUUUAAACCUAUAAUAAUGGAAAAGAAAUGAUAAAAUGUAUUUCAGAUUUUUGCAUUUUCCAAACCAGUAAUUUUCACUGUAUCAUUUGAGGCAUUUUCUCCAUAGUGUAGCUUAUUUUUGAUGUCCUAGGAGCUAUGUUUAAAAACAUAGUAUGGGGCAAUUGAUAAGAGUUCUUUUUCUCUUAGUAGCCUAAUUCUUAUUAAUCUCAGAAAAUAAAGACUAGAUUGUGAGGAUUUGACAGUCCUCUUAGUGUGUGGUGAGCUAAUUUGGGAAAGAUCAGGAUACUUUAAAAUAUUACUAAAUAAUUUAUCUAAUAAUUCAUAAAGUUAUUUAUUUUUAUUUAUAUAUUUCAUAUAUAAAAUAAUUACAUAUUUAAUUAUGAUUUUUUCAGAGAGUGGAUUAUGGAGCCACUAUGUCUGUAUAUAAAUUUUUCCUGAUUCUUAUAAAACUAGAAAUUAAAACACAAGAUACCCAUGUAUGAGAAGCAAUUACAGUUACUGUAGUGUGCAGAUAACUCAAAACUUCAAUUUAUUAUGUUGGCAGUGUAAAAAUCCCUUAUUGUGUACUAUUCCAAUAUUUCAUAUUGAUGACGUACAUCUUUUAGUAUAUGUUACAAACCUGAAUAUGCCUUUUAUUAAAUCAUUAUUCACAAGGUUGAAGAGAAAGUCUUUUAUGGUUAGGAAAUGAUUUUUUCUUUAAUAAAUAGCUUUGGAGAAAUAAGAAUUUCAAAUCCUAACUUUCUGAAUUAGUGGGUAAAACUAGGUGUCAUUGGCUAUUAGUAGCUAAAAUUGCCCUAAAUUUUAUCUCUGGCUAUUUCUUUUCAGGAUUUUCAAAGAAUGAUUGAGAUGCCUUCAGUGCCAUAGCCCUGAAAAAGUAAUGUGUAGCUGACAAACUGAGUUUAAUGAUAGAGCUUAGGUUGAUUUAAUUUGCCUUGUGUUUGGAACUGCGAAUUUCUUAAAAGUGGUUUUGGUGCGAUCCAGUGGUUCUCGUACUGUGUUGUGUGCAUCAGAAUCACCUGGAGGACUUGCUUCCCAAAUCAGAGAUUGCUGAUACAAUGUGGCCCUGGGCGGGGCCCCAAAUGUGCGUUUCUUAAAAGUUCUCAGGUGGUAAUGAUGCAGGAACCACGCUAGGAGAACCACUGUCUGAUCUGAUGUGCUCUUGCAGCCUCGUUUCCUAGGAGUCACAGGACCUGUGAACUGGAAAUCAGCACCAAGGGAUGGUCUAGAUCAAACUCAGGUGUAGAAUCAAGACAGUAGACACACGGAGAUCGAGUGCAGUCACUGGGGCACUUGUGGCAGAGCCAGGGUUUCAGCCCACGUCUGCAGACGACUGGCCUCGUGUUCUUGCCUCAGAAGGAGAUGCUGUCCUUGGCCUUUCUGCAAAGAGUAAGGAAUGUGAAAAGCUUGAGGGUCUCUCUGGAGUUUGUGAAAUUUAUUCAGGCAAGGCAGAGUGUAAAAACCUGUGGUUCACAUCGGCUUUUCCUUUUUUGCCAUCAUACUAUUGUUGGGAGACAGGGUUUUGUCCUGCUUUAAGUAUCUUUCUUACUCAGUUCCUGCCACGUCUGCCAGUGGUGUGUAGUAUUCAGAAACAUGGACAUUUGUUUGAAUCCUAAUUACAAAUAAGUAACCUGGAGUUCCACUUCAGAUAGCGCACUAACAGCUACAUUUCAAAUAUCCAACUGAAGAUGACCAUAUUAUUAUAAGCACUAAAACGGAUAAUGUAAUAAAUGUACUAAUGGAAUUGUCUUUGUGCAUGAUCCAGAAAUAAAUGACACUAAUGAAACCAUAAA